This 213-nucleotide ribosomal RNA is filed under the name uncultured bacterium. RNAcentral describes it as "partial 16S ribosomal RNA". It matches the Rfam family "Bacterial small subunit ribosomal RNA", at positions 1280 to 1500 of the family's 1533-position model. The record is from RNAcentral.
AACCGGUCUCAGUUCGGAUCGCAGUCUGCAACCCGACUCCGUGAAGCUGGAUUCGCUAGUAAUCGCGCAUCAGCCAUGGCGCGGUGAAUACGUUCCCGGGCCUUGUACACACCGCCCGUCAAGCCAUGGAAGCCGGGAGUGCCUGAAGUAUGCAACCGCAAGGAGCGUCCUAAGGUAAAACCGGUGACUGGGGCUAAGUCGUAACAAGGUACC